This 219-nucleotide ribosomal RNA is filed under the name uncultured bacterium. RNAcentral's name for it is "partial 16S ribosomal RNA". It matches the Rfam family "Bacterial small subunit ribosomal RNA", at positions 524 to 740 of the family's 1533-position model. The record is from RNAcentral.
UACGGAGGGUGCAAGCGUUAUCCGGAUUUACUGGGUUUAAAGGGUGUGUAGGCGGACUUUUAAGUCAGCGGUGAAAUCUCCGGGCUCAACCCGGAAACUGCCAUUGAUACUAUUAGUCUUGAAUAUUGGUUGGAAGGUAGGCGGAACGGGUCAUGUAGCGGUGAAAUGCAUAGAUAUGUCAACAGAACACCAAUUGCGAAGGCAGCUUCUAAAGUAUAU